Molecule: long non-coding RNA, 212 nt
Filed under: Homo sapiens (human)
Lineage: Eukaryota; Metazoa; Chordata; Mammalia; Primates; Hominidae
Description: HSALNT0058435
Source: RNAcentral
AGGGCCUUCAAAACAGAUGCCAUGCAUUCGACUUUGUCACAGUUAUUUUCAACAAAGAACAGAGUGAGUGAAGUAGAAAUUGCUUUUGAGAGGCCAGAGAGGAAUAGGAAAACCUUCCUUGGCAGUGCAAUGACUAAUUGUUUCCCCUUCACAGAAGAAAAGCCAAAAAAUCCUCAACUGUCAUAUGCACAAGGAAGAGGUUUGCUGAUAGA